CCUACGGGUGGCUGCAGUAGGGAAUCUUCCACAAUGGGCGAAAGCCUGAUGGAGCAACGCCGCGUGGGUGAAGAAUGCCUUCGGAUUGUAAAACUCUGUUGUUAGAGAAGUAAGUGUGUGAGAGUAACUGUUCACGUUUCGACGGUAUCUAACCAGAACGCCACGGUUAACUACGUGCCAGCAGCUGCGGUAAGACGGAGGUGGCAAGCGUUAUCCGGAUUUGUUGGGCGUAAAGGGAACGCAGGCGGUCUUUUAAGUCUGAUGUGAAAGCCUUCGGCUUAACCGUAGUAGUGCAUUGGAGACUGGGAGACUUGAGUGCAGAAGAGGAGGGUGGAACUCCAGGUGUAGCGGUGAAAUGCGUAGAUAUAUGGAAGAACACCAGUGGCGAAGGCGGCUCUCUGGUCUGUAACUGACGCUGAGGUUCGAAAGCGUGGGUAGCAAACAGGAUUAGAUACCCCAGUAGUC
This 465-nucleotide ribosomal RNA is filed under the name uncultured bacterium. RNAcentral describes it as "partial 16S ribosomal RNA". It matches the Rfam family "Bacterial small subunit ribosomal RNA", at positions 338 to 795 of the family's 1533-position model. The record is from RNAcentral.